CAAGGCCUUUGUGUGAGAGAUGAUGACCUCCAUCUCCUCCCAGAAUCCUCGAUCUAGACGAGAGUCUAAAGAAAGGCUCGUCAUGCUAGACUUGGUCAAAUGGAACCGAUUAUAUAUAGAAUAACACUCCUUAGUGAAUAUAUGUAAAAUCAUUUUCUCAAAAAAAUUAUAUAGAAUAACUCAAGGGACGAACUUUGUAGGGGUGUAAACCCCUCCAUUUUUUUAAAAAAAAACUCAAAAGACGAACGCAAGUAGAGUUUCUUCUAACUAGCCGGAGUCCGGAGAUACCAGCAUGCAGUAAACAUAAUUCUCUCCAUGCACAGGACUUCUGAGCAAGUCGCUUUUCGAUGCCAUAUUAUAUAGAGACACGAAACAGUCUGUACUCAAACUCUUUUAGUUCCGGUUUUUCAACGGGAGCACCAAUCUAGGACUAAACGAGAGGACACCUUUAGUUUUGGUUGGGUGCGCGGGACUAAAGAUAGACUUUUAGUCUUGGUUUCUAAUACCAACCGAGACUACAAGGGCCCUCCAGGUCUGUUCACGGGGUAGGAUAUUUAGUCCUGCUUAGUAUUAGGAACCGGGACUAAAUAGUUUUUUUCUUUUUUUUUCUGUUUUUCUUUCUUUUUUUUCAAUUGAUGAUUAGGUUUAAUAUUAUAAUAGGAUUCAAAUACGCUGCUAAUACUAAUAGAUAUUUCGCAUCAGUAAUUAAGUUAUCGUUCGACACAACAUAUAAAUAACAAACGAUUAUACGUAUAUAUGAUCACAUGUUAUUUUAUGUAUACAUAUAGUAUGUAUAUAUAUUACAUAGCGGUUUGCAUGUACAUAUAAAUUCAUGUCCUUUGCAUAACAAUUCACUUCUAAUUUGGCUUCCAUAUUUCGUUCGGAUCAUUGUAGAACUCGCCAUUUGGGUUGAUGACCUGAUCAUUUAGAAAUCUGGAUAUGGUCUCUUGAAUUGCUUUAAGUUGGUCACGUGGUAUGACUCUUUCCUUCAACCAUUCAAGCUUCAAUAAAAGUAAAAGAAUAAAUUAUUAAUAUAUAUGUGUUGAUAGUGAUUACUUAUAUAGAAGAGAGAGAAAUAAAAAAUAUGAAUAUACGAUGCAAACAAUCAAUAUAAUUAAAGGAAAAGGUAUUUAUAUAUACGUACUUUGAGGAACUCUUCUAAAGUUCUGUUUGAGUAUGCCAUAACUCGCAAAUGUAGUAUCCGCAGUAGUUGUUCCCCUGCUCUUGUCUUAGAACCCACUUUUACAACAAAAAUCAAUUAGUUAGGUGAAAUGAAAUCAUCAUAUAUUGUAAAUUGAAUAUAAACGUAGUUAUAGUACUUACUUUGUGUCCGAUUAUAUCCAGUGGCGCUUUGCAAUGAUUCAAUUUUUGUUCUUCAAUGAACUUUUUCCAAACCCUGCGCCCAAUAAAAAUAUAAUUAAUCCUUUAAUAAUUGUUGAGAGAUAUAUAUAGUUUUAUAGAGACACUAAAUUAAUUAUCCUUGAAUAAUAUCUACCAUGUCUUGAUAGUAGUCCGUUUGCGGUUUUCUCAAGGAGUCUAAAAUUUUCAAUCUACUAUUGGUCAUAUCGAUGACCAUCAAUAUCCAGUUAUUGCUGCAUAGACAUAACUUAUUAGGUAGCUAUAAAUAAAUAAUCAAUUGAACAAAUAAUAUCCCAUGUCAUUGAUAUUUUAAUUACUAAACACUUACUUGAAGUUGUAGGGGAAGAGUAUAUCCUUCUUGUUGCGUUGGUUCACUAAAAACAUCAUAAGAUUCUUCUCUCGUUCAGGCUUAUAAUCAUGCGGGGGGUUAGGGUGUUUGUAUACGACAUAUGGAUCAACGAAACCAAUAUUAUUAUCAUUUCUCUUCCUCAGUUCUCUCAUCUAUAUAUCUCUAUAUUUAAGGUGUAUAUGACCGAACAAAAUGUAUAUAGACAAAGUAUAUGAUCAUACUAGACCAUCUAGAGUCAUAUGUAUGUUAAGUAUGCAUGCAUACAUAGAGUAUAUGGUUAUACUUAUUGUAUAUAAUAUAGUAGUGGCAUUGUAGUAAUAUAUUUAAAAUAUAUUUUUUUUGAAAAUUUUUUGUGUGGUAAGAUGUAGAGUAUCUUAAUAUGAGUAUAUAAAUAUACUCAAACUGAUAAACAAGUAUGAAU
RNAcentral lists this long non-coding RNA (2129 nucleotides) under Sorghum bicolor (sorghum). Its description in RNAcentral is "long non-coding RNA (SBIC_LNC018623)". Lineage: Eukaryota; Viridiplantae; Streptophyta; Magnoliopsida; Poales; Poaceae. The record is from RNAcentral.